GACGAACGCUGGCGGCGUGCUUAACACAUGCAAGUCGAACGGAAAGGCCCUGCUUGCAGGGUACUCGAGUGGCGAACGGGUGAGUAACACGUGGGUGAUCUGCCCUGCACUUCGGGAUAAGCCUGGGAAACUGGGUCUAAUACCGGAUAGGAGCCAUUUUUAGUGUGAUGGUUGGAAAGUUUUUUCGGUGUAGGAUGAGCUCGCGGCCUAUCAGCUUGUUGGUGGGGUAAUGGCCUACCAAGGCGGCGACGGGUAGCCGGCCUGAGAGGGUGGACGGCCACCUUGGGACUGAGAUACGGCCCAGACUCCUACGGGAGGCAGCAGUGGGGAAUAUUGCACAAUGGGCGCAAGCCUGAUGCAGCGACGCCGCGUGGGGGAUGACGGCCUUCGGGUUGUAAACUCCUUUCGCUAGGGACGAAGCUUUUUGUGACGGUACCUAGAUAAGAAGCACCGGCUAACUACGUG
This 465-nucleotide ribosomal RNA is filed under the name uncultured bacterium. RNAcentral's name for it is "partial 16S ribosomal RNA". It matches the Rfam family "Bacterial small subunit ribosomal RNA", at positions 28 to 507 of the family's 1533-position model. The record is from RNAcentral.